GUGUGUGUGCCGGGUGCUGUACUGCUCCCCUUUCGAGUAGCCAUGCGUACGUAGGCAAAAACCUUGAAAGGAUGCUCUUUCAUCCACUACUGUGUUUGACCCUCAGAGAAAGACUAAGAUGUCAACUGAUAUAAUUACUCCACUCCCAAUAAACAGAUAUGGAACGUGACCCUCAGAACAACAUGCAGGGCCUGUCCUCUUGGCAGAAACAUACACAAGGUCCUCCAUGACAGAAGAAGAAAGAGAAGGAAGGAGAAGAGGAGAUGUAGGAGAAGAAAGAGAACUAUCAAUUAGUGUGUGAUUAAUAGGUGUCUGGCCGUUCUAAAUGCUACAAAUGGAUAUUCUCAUUUAAUUCUCGUUAUAACCCUCCAUUUUACAGAUGAGGAAACUGAGACCCAGAGAGGUUACGCCUGAUCCUCAGGUGGACACUGGGAGAAGAGAACUUUGCCACUGCCCCAAUAAGCUGUACCCCAAGGUCACACAGC
Long non-coding RNA from Choloepus didactylus (southern two-toed sloth), 485 nucleotides. RefSeq lists it as uncharacterized. The transcript is spliced from 3 exons. The record is from RefSeq and is a predicted model, not a curated record. NCBI's taxonomy places the organism in Eukaryota, Metazoa, Chordata, Mammalia, Pilosa, Megalonychidae.